UGGUGAACCAGCGGAGGGAUCAUUACAGAGUUGCAAGACUCCCCAAACCAUCGCGAACGUUACCCAAACCGUUGCUUCGGCGGGCGGCGCGCCUGCGCGCCCCUGGGCCCCACCGCGGGCGCCCGCCGGAGGUCCACCGAACUGCUGAUAAUUUAUGGCCUCUCUGAGUAUUCUUUACUGAAUAAGUCAAAACUUUCAACAACGGAUCUCUUGGUUCUGG
Molecule: unclassified non-coding RNA, 220 nt
Filed under: uncultured fungus
Lineage: Eukaryota; Fungi
Description: partial contains 18S rRNA, ITS1 and 5.8S rRNA
Source: RNAcentral